UCGGGCUCUACUCCACAAAUGUCAAAAUAAAAGCAGUUCCCAGCCGAUGGGUCUUCAGGUGGUGGUGGUGUAGCUCUUGCUUCAUCAACUUCUACUUCUUCUUUGUUUUCUAUAUAUAUCAUAUAUAUAAACAUGAAUGCUUAUGUAAUGCUUAUGAAAAUGCAAAGAUAAUAAAGUACAUUAUCUAAGGUCUUGAAUACAAUUUUCCUUCACGGGUCUCCAGGAAAAUAGGGUUUUUGGAGUCAGAAUUGUAGUUCCUAGGGCAUGUAUCACUAGAAGAUUAGGGUUUUGGGGUUUAGGCACCAAACAUUGUCCAAAUCAUACCAAACUUUACCCAAGGCUUCUAAUUAUCGACUUAAGCUUAUCCCAACAAUCUAGUGAUUUUUGGAGUUAGUAAUUAAUUUCUAAAAUUUCAGAAGUAUAGGUUUUGGCUAAUUUAAAUACUCCAUAAUUCCUUAUUUGAACUAAAAAUUAUAAAACUAUUUUUAUUAAAUACUAUAGAAAAUCAGGAGCCUAGCAAAAUUGGUCUGGUAUUAUUAGCAUUUUUCUAUAGUUUCUUAUGGAUUUCUAAAGCUUCUCGGAAAAAGAAAACGAAAAGCUUCUAACAGUGUUGGGCCAAAACUGGCCCUGGUCUAAGCGGAAAUUGGGGGCGCGCCCGCGGCAGCGUAGCAGGUUUUUCACAAAGGUCCACGCUAGAGCCGAAAUUAGAAACGAAGUCUUCAACCAAUUCCCGUGAGUCACUGACACUUUACUUCCAGCCCCUCCCAAGCUUCUUGUCUUUCAAAAUGGAAUCCCUAAUGUUGUCCGGCGGCGCGGACACGUUCUCCCUGCGACACUACGACGAAGGAGAGCCUGGGCAAUCAUUGGAUAGCGACCAGAUCAAACCUUAACCUAACCCAAGCAGUUUUGGGCAUGGAUUUGGCUUACAAACACACGGAGCGGCCGGAUCGCGCCCACGACGGAAUUCUAGCUCUGCGGUACCUCUCCGGUCGAUUUGAGUACCGGACACAUCAAAUUAAGGGCAUAGGGGGCACGAGCGAGACACGGGCAACACGACGCUCACAAGAAUUGCCCUCGGACCAACUGAACUUUGAGUGGGUCAACACCAGGGUAGUUCACGCGGUGUCAAGAUCAUGUUCCGACCAAAUUAGGACCACAAAGAUCAAACGGGCUUCUUGAUGAGCUUCACCAACCUAUAGAGACGGAAGAACACGAAUUUGUAAGGGUGGAGCCAUAACGCAACCGCCUGACCACGUGAGGUUGACGUGUUGGCGAGGUGGUCACCAAACACACCGGUGGCUUGAUCAGUGGAACUGGGCACGUCCAGGGUAUGGUUUAGGGAAGCAAUACUGCUAAUUGAAGCUACUCACGAUGGUGGAUGGUCGAUGCAAGGAUCACUGUGUUGGCUCCUGCUUUCUUCCCCCCGGUUGCUCUUUAAAUAGCCAGUGAAAAGAUCAAGGGGGCUGGACUUUUAAACUGGCAUCAGGGGUAACUAUGAGCAGGAGGUGUAGUCGUGGCUCACUCAAGAAGACCCACGCUGGUUCACAGAGCAUAGUCAUGCAGGAUGAAGUUUAUCCAUGGCCAAGGAAGGAGGUAAGGAUAGGAUGGCACUGUAGUAGAUAUUUGCACAGGUGAUAUUUCAGUGAUGCGCAAAUCUGAAUACCCCUGCCAUCACCUCAUCCCAAUCUUCAUCCUAUUCCAAAGUUGGUCACGACAAGGAGAGUAAAUAUCAAGGGUAGAUAUUUCAGUUCUUUUGAAUCUUCAACAGAUAACUGAUCCCCCUCUCUUCAGUUAGCCUUUUCUCCAUAUUCUGAUUAAGAACAGGGCAAUCAUCGUUAACAGAACUUGUUCCCAAUUAAAGGGUCUAUAAAGUUACUAUAAAUUUCUUGGACCUAAACCUCAUAUAUUACAAGUUAUGGUGCCCAAAAAUCAGCUGCAAUACACUGGUACCAUUCCAAUCUUCUAAACUUCAGUCUUCAAGUUUCAUACGGUUUCUUCCUUUCUGACAGGGACAGUUUGGGCACCCUUACCUCCUAAAUGUAUAUGACAUCAAGCCAGAGUCUCCUAAUAAAACUUGCUCAUGAACACUAGCUUUCUAGAUUUGCUUAGAUCAACCUAGCACCAAGUUGCAUAGGACAGCCUCUGCAAGGUCUCAAAGUUGCUCCGACAGACAGAAAUUCAGAACAGAGCUGCCUGAUUAGGACCCAUGAACCUGAAGCCCAACUUGAGCAUCAUUUUCCUUGAUUUUUGGCACAGGAUCAAGCCCAUAUUUCUUAAGAACAUUUAAUCCCCUUUUAAUGACCUCUAAUUUAUCUACACAGCUCAUAGACUUUACCCCACUAGAUUGGACACAAAAAGACUCCAAACCUAGCUCGAUACACUGCUCUAUAGGCUUCAGAUUACUGUGUGUGGUCUGAACAUUCAGAGUCCUAUUAGCUCUGUUUGGGGUAUGUUUUCAGGAGAUUUCAUAGUGUUUCAGGGUUGGGUCUCUUAAUUGAACUUAUACCCCUAUAAUAGCUCUACCAUUUUGAUGUACUAACCUAGGACAGAAUCCUCAUGAAUGAAGAGAUAUACAGCCCCAAAGAUGGUCCAAAUUACUGCAAUUCAGACCUAGUCACAUGAGAGGUGUAGAGGGGCCUUUUGCAAAUAAGCCCCAAUUCUCAUCUUUUGGCUUGGAAAUCCUCAAAUGUGUCAACCAUAUGAUUUGAGCUACUCCAAUACCUUGGUUUUUGCACUUGGGUCCAAAAGUAUGCAAAAUUUACAUAUAACCCCUAGGGUUUCAAUUUGGGGUUUUAGUGGUCCUUUUAGGGUUUUGGCACUUCUAGAGUUAGAGUGUCACUUAAGUCCAUUAAUGGUGAUAUCUUAUGAGUAUUUCUCAUGAGUUUUGAAAUUUUCUCAUGCUUGGGAUUUAUUAUCCCUCCUAAGCCUGGUUUAGGGUUAGGUACCCUACUCUAGGGUUUCACCCAUAACUAGUCACAUCAAUACAACUUGUUUGAAAUUUUUGCCUAGUUAAUGCACUCUAAGUGUAACAAGCACAUGAUAUGCUAAUGCUCAUGAUGUUUUGCUCAAGUUUUAGUGACAGUAACACCAGGGGUGUUACAGAGAGCAUAUGAAAAAUGUAACCCAUUCUUUUGUUUUUUAGCUCACUGGCCAUUCGCUGGGAGUUUCAGGCUUAAUACCGAUAUUUUAGCAACAAAUCUAAUAAAUCUAAAUGUAGUGAUUGGUGUAUUGAUUUUUUGGAAAGGGAGUGUGUGUGAGUUGUCUAUUUCAAGAAUAGAUUGGAUCUAUCCGGCUGCACUUUAGAAUAUUUUCCCGGGUGAUUCUCCAUGUUCCCAUUAACAUAAUGAUCUUAUCGUGAACAGAAAAUAAUAAACAGAUAAUAAAAAGUGUAAUCAUGAGUAAUGAAUAUCUCUAUACCCAAAACCACAUAAAGCAAUAGCAUCUACUACCCAAAAAAUUUAGUAGUAAAACUAGUGGUCAAAUAAGGUAUAAAGAUAGUCAAAAAUCUAGGGUAACCUAUUGGGUCCCAUCAAAAUUAACCUAUGCAGAUCAUUAUGAUUAAUAAGAACUUGACUGGGUAAAAGAAGUGAUCAAGGGCACAAUUUGCCUUCAACGAGCUCCUACUCAGUAGUCUCUACCAGCUGAACCUCAGGAUCCACAGUGACUUGCUCGUUUACUCGCAUCAAUACAAACUUACAUAGUAUAAAGGGAAAAUUAACAUCACACUAAAGAUGUAAACAAAAUACAUGAUAAUAUUCUACGCCGCGUAAUGAGAACAUAGGAACAAGAACCACUGAAUUUGGAUCUACCGUUGUUAAGCUAUGAAUUUCCGAAGUUAUGAAGUACUCGGAAUAGCAUAACUCAUGUGAAUAAUUUUAGUUCCAGUUUCAUGGCAAAACAAAUUUACUAAGUGACAGACAAUAUUAAAACAAAAUUAAUGUCUCUGGAAUGACUCAAUUUGGAGUUAAAAUAAAUUUUAUAUGGAUUAUACAAGUUCCUGGAAUUAUUUUUGUAUUAAAAAUUAAUUUCUAUAAUUUUUUAACCCUUUUCUCGGCUCCCUAGUCAGCGCACCAAUUUCAGAAAAGGUCGCGGGCCCAUCUAUACAAAUACCUCAAACACAACUGACACUCGCGCAGGAUGGCGGGUUAUUUUCUAAAAUCUAUAAGGGCUCUUCUGCAAAAGGUGCAGGCCGAAGGGGUACUGACGCACACGAGCCAUCGGAUCCAAAACCGUCGGUCCAGAUUAGAACGAGACACUUAUGAACCUGAGAUCAUCCUCACACGUCGGAUCUGAAUCCUACGAUCCACGACACACUAUCAACACUCUCCCACACGGGCCACACAAUUAUUGAUCGAUGGUUGUGAUUGAUUAAGCCGAAAGGAGGCCUCAAGAUCUAAUCCUAGCCGCUAUUCAUUGUUCCAGAGGUCACGGAUUAAACUAGCCAACCGGAGUGCGCGCCACGAUCUACGCCAGCCACACCAAGAUCAACGGACAGAGGACCAUCUACCUCGACCAGACGACCACGCGGCGCCGUGACGCCAUUAGCACGUAGACCGGCGAAGCACCGCAGAUGCCGUCACAACAAAGUAUUGCACAAUUUAGCUAACGCGAAUGCAUGGGUGAUCCGCUCUUACUCGAUUGGGAACGUACCAGCGCCCAGGCUCGUACAGGCCGCCCCGGGAUGGAGUGACGGUGGCCCAGCGGCAAUGUCGAUUUGUCGGUCCGCCGUCCUUGAGACCCCGGAUGAUGUCUCCCCAGCAAUACGGUGAGUCACUGAGGCACGCAACCUCGAAUUCCGCCCAUGCGCACACACGCUCGUCGUCCGCACCAGACACUGCUCUCGCGCUCCACUUCUCUCUCACCAACAGCGUCAAUUCCAAUGGCGAUUAGGGUUUCUUUCUGUCUCGGUAUAACGUAGGCGGCGACCGUAUUUAAAUCACCGAGCGAGGAAACAGCCCCGCGGUGCGCUUGGUUUGUUG
RNAcentral lists this long non-coding RNA (4979 nucleotides) under Zea mays. Its description in RNAcentral is "long non-coding RNA (ZMAY_LNC003303)". The record is from RNAcentral. Lineage: Eukaryota; Viridiplantae; Streptophyta; Magnoliopsida; Poales; Poaceae.